Molecule: ribosomal RNA, 253 nt
Filed under: uncultured bacterium
Lineage: Bacteria
Description: partial 16S ribosomal RNA
Rfam family: Bacterial small subunit ribosomal RNA
Source: RNAcentral
UACGGAGGAUCCGAGCGUUAUCCGGAUUUAUUGGGUUUAAAGGGUGCGUAGGCGGCCUGGUAAGUCAGGGGUGAAAGACGGUAGCUUAACUAUCGCAGUGCCCUUGAUACUGCUGGGCUUGAAUGUAGUUGAGGUAGGCGGAAUGUGACAGUAGCGGUGAAAAUGCAUAGAUAUGUCACAGAACACCAAUUGCGAAGGCGCUUACUAAAGUAGUGAUUGACGCUGAGGCACGAAAGCGUGGGGAUCAAACAGG